UCUCACUUUCUUUCAAAAUACUAAAAUUGGAACAAUACAGAGAAGAUUAGCAUGACCCCUGCACAAGGACACAAAUUCGUGAAGCAUUUUAUAAUUUU
This 98-nucleotide small nuclear RNA is filed under the name Chinchilla lanigera (long-tailed chinchilla). The record is from RNAcentral. Lineage: Eukaryota; Metazoa; Chordata; Mammalia; Rodentia; Chinchillidae.